Molecule: regulatory RNA element, 46 nt
Organism: Cavia porcellus (domestic guinea pig)
Lineage: Eukaryota; Metazoa; Chordata; Mammalia; Rodentia; Caviidae
Rfam family: Histone 3' UTR stem-loop
About the family: The mRNAs of metazoan histone genes lack a poly-A tail. 3' end processing occurs at a site between a highly conserved stem-loop (modelled by this family) and a purine rich region around 20 nts downstream (the histone downstream element, or HDE).
Source: Rfam
AUAAAGGCCCUUUUUAGGGCCACCCACAAAGUCACACAAAGAGCUG